UACGUAGGGGGCAAGCGUUGUCCGGAUUUAUUGGGCGUAAAGAGCGUGUAGGCGGCAAGGUAGGUCUGCUGUGAAAACUCGAGGCUUAACCUCGAGCUGUCGGCGGAAACCAUCUGGCUAGAGUCCGGAAGAGGAGAAUGGAAUUCCCGGUGUAGCGGUGAAAUGCGCAGAUAUCGGGAAGAACACCCGUGGCGAAGGCGGUUCUCUGGGACGGUACUGACGCUGAGACGCGAAAGCGUGGGGAGCGAACAGG
RNAcentral lists this ribosomal RNA (253 nucleotides) under uncultured bacterium. RNAcentral describes it as "partial 16S ribosomal RNA". It matches the Rfam family "Bacterial small subunit ribosomal RNA", at positions 524 to 776 of the family's 1533-position model. The record is from RNAcentral.